UCGCUACCAGUUCGCCAUGUACCUGUAAUCCUCUGAUGUAGUUCGCUACAGCGAAUUGAGAUUCGCUUAGCGAAUGAGUUCGCUACCUGUUCGCUAUGGGUUCGCUUAGCGAACAGUGCUGAACCUGCAACUUUUGUUAAUGUUUGUAAGUAUGAUUUGGCACUUGUAACAUGGUUUAAGGGUAUCCUUACAUGAUUGUUGAUACA
Molecule: long non-coding RNA, 206 nt
Filed under: Trifolium pratense (red clover)
Lineage: Eukaryota; Viridiplantae; Streptophyta; Magnoliopsida; Fabales; Fabaceae
Description: long non-coding RNA (TPRA_LNC010837)
Source: RNAcentral